GACGAACGCUGGCGGCGUGCUUAACACAUGCAAGUCGAACGGAAAGGCCUCUUUCGGGGGUACUCGAGUGGCGAACGGGUGAGUAACACGUGAGUAACCUGCCCUUGACUUUGGGAUAACUUCAGGAAACUGGGGCUAAUACCGGAUAGGAGCUCCUGCUGCAUGGUGGGGGUUGGAAAGUUUCGGCGGUUGGGGAUGGACUCGCGGCUUAUCAGCUUGUUGGUGGGGUAGUGGCUUACCAAGGCUUUGACGGGUAGCCGGCCUGAGAGGGUGACCGGCCACAUUGGGACUGAGAUACGGCCCAGACUCCUACGGGAGGCAGCAGUGGGGAAUAUUGCACAAUGGGUGGAAGCCUGAUGCAGCAACGCCGUGUGCGGGAUGACGGCCUUCGGGUUGUAACCCGCUUUCGCUCAUGACGAAGCUUUGUGUGACGGUAGUGGGUAAAGAAGCACCGGCUAACUACGUG
This 466-nucleotide ribosomal RNA is filed under the name uncultured bacterium. RNAcentral describes it as "partial 16S ribosomal RNA". It matches the Rfam family "Bacterial small subunit ribosomal RNA", at positions 28 to 507 of the family's 1533-position model. The record is from RNAcentral.